UUAGGAUUCUCCUAAACUGUUGUGUAACUUUAUCCACUAUUAAAAGAGAGUUUUUGAAUGAGAUUCAGAAUAACGUUCUUUCUUCUCCUUCUCCAUAAUAUUCCUGGUUCUUCUACUCUCUGAAUAUUUUUUGGGAGUUAUCUAAAAAUUCCUGUGAAGAAUUUUUCUCCGAAAAAUGUUGGAAUAACCUUCUGCAAUAAGGUACGAUUAUAGACUGUGAACUUUAUAGAUUAACUGGUGUAUUAACAUGUGAUUGAACUGUUUGACUGAUAAAAUACAAAAUACAAUGAUCCUGCAUGUAUUUGAUUUAAUUCUUCAAUUUUGAAUUUCCAAGCUUUUAAUUGAUCAAGAAGAGAGAAGAACAUGUAAAAACAUAUGUUACAAUCUUUAAAUUUAUAAAAAGGAUCAUAUCUAUACAAGGGGUGAUCAUCAAAUGAUCGAUAAUAUAAGCUGCACUUUGUAAACAAAAACCUCAAAGAAAAAAAUAUUAUUAAUAUACUGAAAUAAAAGAAAGUAUAGAUGCAAAACUGAAGCUUUGGUAAGAAUUCACAAAAAUCUUAUCACUUGCAAUCAAGAUCCUGAAUAGCACUUAUAGUCAAAUUAAUAUUCAUAGUACAACUCAAAUCUGCAGAUUUCUUCCUCCUAAACACCCUAAAAAUCUGCAGUUUCCCUCUCAACAUAGCCUGGCUAGUCACUGGCAAAAUCCCGUUAGUAUUAUUGACUCCUUGUCUUGCAAGUGUGAUAAUAUUUGCAUUAAUAUAAUGUUUUUUCGUCGAACGACGUCUUACCUCUGCGUUAGGAAUAAUAAAUUGGCCAAUCGUCUCACCCCCUGAAGUAAUAGUACCUAAAGUACUAUCAAAUUCGUAACGCCAAUAAUUACUAUUUCUCACAAAAAUUUGUGCAGCAAAAUUAAUAUUAUUGCCAUCACUAUCGUUCGUGACUCUGAUGUUUUCGAGCCAGAUUUGAGGUGAUUUGAUUCGAACAAAUAUGAGAGAAAAUAGAAGAACGAUUCCAGUUAGGAACAAUGUGAAGAACAAAAUAUUUCUGAUUUUGUUUUUCCUCUUGAUAUUAUUGGAUUGGAAAUUGGCUAAUGAUUCUGCAUCACUUCUCGGCAUAAAACUUGAUGGUGCUAAGGGAUAUGAUUGUUGGUAUUUUUGAUCAGUUGCCAUAGUUAAAAAUAGAGGAAUUUUAUUUUUGUUUUGAAUUGAAGUUAGGGACUGUAUUUAUAUAUGUUUAGAUUGAGACACUUUCGUGGAAAAUGUUAUCAGCC
RNAcentral lists this long non-coding RNA (1270 nucleotides) under Nicotiana tabacum (common tobacco). Its description in RNAcentral is "long non-coding RNA (NTAB_LNC001262)". The record is from RNAcentral. Lineage: Eukaryota; Viridiplantae; Streptophyta; Magnoliopsida; Solanales; Solanaceae.